RNAcentral lists this ribosomal RNA (556 nucleotides) under Vairimorpha ceranae. RNAcentral describes it as "SSU rRNA". It matches the Rfam family "Microsporidia small subunit ribosomal RNA", at positions 1 to 606 of the family's 1311-position model. The record is from RNAcentral. Lineage: Eukaryota; Fungi; Microsporidia; Nosematidae.
CUCCAGGUUGAUUCUGCCUGACGUAGACGCUAUUCCCUAAGAUUAACCCAUGCAUGUUUUUGACAUUUGAAAAAUGGACUGCUCAGUAAUACUCACUUUAUUUUAUGUAAAUUUCUGAUUAAUUAACUACGUUAAAGUGUAGAUAAGAUGUUUACAGUAAGAGUGAGACCUAUCAGCUAGUUGUUAAGGUAAUGGCUUAACAAGGCUGUGACGGGUAACGGUAUUACUUUGUAAUAUUCCGGAGAAGGAGCUUGAGAGACGGCUACUAAGUCUAAGGAUUGCAGCAGGGGCGAAACUUGACCUAUGGAUUUUAUCUGAGGCAGUUAUGGGAAGUAAUAUUAUAUUGUUUCAUAUUUUAAAAGUAUAUGAGGUGAUUAAUUGGAGGGCAAAUCAAGUGCCAGCAGCCGCGGUAAUACUUGUUCCAAGAGUGUGUAUAAUGAUUGAUGCAGUUAAAAAGUCCGUAGUUUAUUUUUUAAGAAGCAAUAUGAGGUGUACUGUAUAGUUGGGAGAAAGAUGAAAUGUGACGACCCUGACUGGACGAACAGAAGCGAAAGCU